Molecule: ribosomal RNA, 496 nt
Filed under: uncultured bacterium
Lineage: Bacteria
Description: partial 16S ribosomal RNA
Rfam family: Bacterial small subunit ribosomal RNA
Source: RNAcentral
GAUGAACGCUGGCGGCGUGCCUAAUACAUGCAAGUCGAGCGAACGGACGAGAAGCUUGCUUCUCUGAUGUUAGCGGCGGACGGGUGAGUAACACGUGGAUAACCUACCUAUAAGACUGGGAUAACUUCGGGAAACCGGAGCUAAUACCGGAUAAUAUUUUGAACCGCAUGGUUCAAAAGUGAAAGACGGUCUUGCUGUCACUUAUAGAUGGAUCCGCGCUGCAUUAGCUAGUUGGUAAGGUAACGGCUUACCAAGGCAACGAUGCAUAGCCGACCUGAGAGGGGGAUCGGCCAAACUGGAACUGAGACACGGUCCAGACUCCUACGGGAGGCAGCAGUAGGGAAUCUUCCGCAAUGGGCGAAAGCCUGACGGAGCAACGCCGCGUGAGUGAUGAAGGUCUUCGGAUCGUAAAACUCUGUUAUUAGGGAAGAACAUAUGUGUAAGUAACUGUGCACAUCUUGACGGUACCUAAGCAGAAAACAACGGCUAACUACGU